UUUAUUUUUUAUUUUGGUCAAAGGUAAGUUUUAUUACCAACAAUAAAAAAUUACACAACAAAGGCCCAAAUAUAAGUAAGCACAAAGCAAAAGCGAACCUUCCAAGCUAAACAACAAGAGGCCAAACAAUGUUGAAGCCCAAAACUAGAAACAAAUUGAAAGAAAAAUCGUGAAUUCUGCUACCACCGUUGCUACAACACUACAUCUCGAUCAGUCACCAAUUGAAAGAAGCCAGUGGGAUUGCCACGAGUGACACUGAUAACAAACGCAAGCAGAGAGAAGGUGGUGGUGUGGACACCCGAGCCUGUGUGAAGACUGAAAUUCUUCAUACAUUUUGUCGGUAAAUGUCUUGGUAGAAGAUAUGAUUUCUUAAAAUUGAGGUUUAUUCAUUUUUAACUACGUACAUAACAAGAAAUUUUCUUACCUGUCUAAUUUCUAAUGAUUAACCGAAACAAAUUUCGGUGAAGGGUAAUUGCAGAUCGAUUUGAGAUGUGAUAAAUGAAGGACGGAGGCAAGUACGAGGGGUGGAGAAAUAAGUGUAUGACAAGACAAUGUCAGAAUUGUGGAUAAGGAACAUGGGGAUGGGAUAACAAGGGUUAGAAGAAAGAGAAGGUCAAACCUGAAGGCAUAGUCUAGUAAGAUCUACGGCUAUUAGGGUUGAAGAACAAGGUAGAUCGGAAGGGAAACCAUUCACACCACUGUGAGUUUAAAAACUCUCACAAAGAGAGAGAGUCUCUCACACGCAGAGAAGGUAGAUGCCUUUGAUUUUUAAGUAUUUGGUUUCUUUUACAUUUAUGUAUUGUUUUUAAAUUUUACGUAUUUUAGUAUAAAAUAGUAGUUUAAUUAACAAUACAUUGUAGUUGAAUGUGUAAGUAAUGUACUAUAGUAUUUCUUAGGAUGCUAAAAGGUAAUAAAAUAUUGAGAGGAAUAAAAUGUAGUCCCAUGAACAUUAUUGUCCGUCAAUAUUCCUUGAAAAUUAUCUUUUUGUGUUGUAUUUAAGAACGUUGGCAAAAUAUAACCAAACCAUUAGAGAUGGCCUUAGACGUGUUAGUUUGAAUUGUUGUGCUUUGAAGACAAAAUAAAUUGCUGGUGCUUAGGGGUGGGCACGGGCCCAAAUUUUGAGGAACCGCACCUUACCCGGCUCGUUUGAAACAAGCUAGGUCCACGGGCCCAAUAUCGUUGACAUCGCCAGAGCUCACCGGAUUCUGCA
This 1210-nucleotide long non-coding RNA is filed under the name Malus domestica (apple). Its description in RNAcentral is "long non-coding RNA (MDOM_LNC015803)". Lineage: Eukaryota; Viridiplantae; Streptophyta; Magnoliopsida; Rosales; Rosaceae. The record is from RNAcentral.